CUAACAGGAUUCCCUCAGUAACGGCGAGUGAAGAGGGAUCAGCUCAAAUUUGUAAUCGGACGUUCGAUGUCGUGACCGUUCCGAGUUGUAAUCUAUAGAAGCGAUCUCCGCGAAGGCCCGCGUACAAGUCUCUUGGAACAGAGCAUCAGAGAGGGUGAGAGUCCCGUCCUUGACGCGGUAGCCGUCGCAUCCGGAGACGCAAUCUACGAGUCGAGUUGUUUGGGAAUGCAGCUCCAAUUGGGUGGUAAACUCCAUCUAAAGCUAAAUACCGGCGAGAGACCGAUAGCGAACAAGUACCGUGAGGGAAAGAUGAAAAGCACUUUGGAAAGAGAGUGAAACAGUACGUGAAAUUGUUGAAAGGGAAACGCUUGUGGUCAGUCGCGUCCGAUCGGAGCGCCUUCGAAGGAGCGAUCCACGGAGGUUUUCAGUUCGGACGGGUCAGCGUCCAUGAUCUUCAAUCCCGAUCCACCCCGAGAGGUCAUGUGGCGCGACGGCGUGUUAUAGACCUCGAGGGAGACGGCAGUAGACAUGGGUCGACGCGUACGCGUCUCAGCUGGCGUAAUGUCCUCAAGCGACCCG
This 579-nucleotide ribosomal RNA is filed under the name uncultured Corticiaceae. RNAcentral's name for it is "eukaryotic LSU rRNA". It matches the Rfam family "Eukaryotic large subunit ribosomal RNA", at positions 65 to 651 of the family's 3401-position model. The record is from RNAcentral. Lineage: Eukaryota; Fungi; Basidiomycota; Agaricomycetes; Corticiales; Corticiaceae.